GAUGAACGCUGGCGGCGUGCUUAAUACAUGCAAGUCGAGCGAACAGAUCAGGCGCUUGCUCCUUUGUCGUUAGCGGCGGACGGGUGAGUAACACGUGGAUAAUCUACCUAUAUGUCUGGGAUAACCUCGGGACACCGGAGAUUAUCCCGGAUAAUCUCUUGAACCGCAUGGGUCAAUAGUGAAAGACGGUUUUGCUGUCUCUUAUAGAUGGAUCUGGGCCGCAUUAGCUAGUUGGUAGGGUCACGGGUUACCAAGGCUAGGAUGCGUGGCCGAGCUGAGAGAGUGGUCGGCCACACGGGAACGGAGACGCGGUCCAGACGCCUGCGGGAGGCAGCAGAAUGGAAUCUGCCGCAAUAGGCGAAAACUUUACGGAGCAACGCCGCGUGAGUGAUAAAGGUGUUCGGAGCGUAAAACCGUGUUAUGGGUUAUAAACAGAUGUCGAAGGAGCUAAGCACGGCUUGACGGUACCGAAUCAGAAAGCCCCGGCUAACUACGUG
Molecule: ribosomal RNA, 497 nt
Filed under: uncultured bacterium
Lineage: Bacteria
Description: partial 16S ribosomal RNA
Rfam family: Bacterial small subunit ribosomal RNA
Source: RNAcentral